This 796-nucleotide ribosomal RNA is filed under the name Pezicula sp. 5 CC-2015. Its description in RNAcentral is "eukaryotic LSU rRNA". It matches the Rfam family "Eukaryotic large subunit ribosomal RNA", at positions 109 to 922 of the family's 3401-position model. The record is from RNAcentral. Lineage: Eukaryota; Fungi; Ascomycota; Leotiomycetes; Helotiales; Dermateaceae.
UCAAAUUUGAAAUCUGGGUCUUUCAGGCUCCGAGUUGUAAUUUGUAGAAGAUGCUUUGGGUGCGGCCCCGGUCUAAGUUCCUUGGAACAGGACGUCAUAGAGGGUGAGAAUCCCGUAUGUGAUCGGUGGCUUGCGCCCGUGUAAAGCUCUUUCGACGAGUCGGGUUGUUUGGGAAUGCAGCUCUAAAUGGGUGGUAAAUUUCAUCUAAAGCUAAAUAUUGGCCAGAGACCGAUAGCGCACAAGUAGAGUGAUCGAAAGAUGAAAAGCACUUUGGAAAGAGAGUUAAACAGUACGUGAAAUUGUUGAAAGGGAAGCGCUUGCAACCAGACUUGCGCGGGGUUGAUCAUCCGGGGUUCUCCCCGGUGCACUCGGCCUCGCUCAGGCCAGCAUCGGUUUCGGUGGUUGGAUAAAGGCCUUGGGAAUGUGGCCCCUCUCGGGGGGUGUUAUAGCCCUCGGUGCAAUGCAGCCUACCGGGACCGAGGACCGCGCUUCGGCUAGGAUGCUGGCGUAAUGGUUGUAAGCGACCCGUCUUGAAACACGGACCAAGGAGUCUAACAUCUAUGCGAGUGUUUGGGUGUCAAACCCAUACGCGGAAUGAAAGUGAACGGAGGUGAGAACCCUUAAGGGUGCAUCAUCGACCGAUCCUGAUGUCUUCGGAUGGAUUUGAGUAAGAGCAUAGCUGUUGGGACCCGAAAGAUGGUGAACUAUGCCUGAAUAGGGUGAAGCCAGAGGAAACUCUGGUGGAGGCUCGCAGCGGUUCUGACGUGCAAAUCGAUCGUCAAAUUUGGGUAUAGGG